UGCAAGUCGAGGGGCAGCAUGGUCUUAGCUUGCUAAGGCUGAUGGCGACCGGCGCACGGGUGAGUAACACGUAUCCAACCUGCCGUCUACUCUUGGCCAGCCUUCUGAAAGGAAGAUUAAUCCAGGAUGGGAUCAUGAGUUCACAUGUCCGCAUGAUUAAAGGUAUUUUCCGGUAGACGAUGGGGAUGCGUUCCAUUAGAUAGUAGGCGGGGUAACGGCCCACCUAGUCAACGAUGGAUAGGGGUUCUGANAGGAAGGUCCCCCACAUUGGAACUGAGACACGGNCC
This 287-nucleotide ribosomal RNA is filed under the name Phocaeicola dorei. RNAcentral describes it as "Bacteroides dorei partial 16S ribosomal RNA". It matches the Rfam family "Bacterial small subunit ribosomal RNA", at positions 56 to 332 of the family's 1533-position model. Lineage: Bacteria; Pseudomonadati; Bacteroidota; Bacteroidia; Bacteroidales; Bacteroidaceae. The record is from RNAcentral.